GCGAUGCGGAAGCAUCGCAACAUCAUAAAGAACACGUUGCCGUAGGGCAGACAGUGCCGGAAGGCACGGGAUGCCGUGGAGGCAGGUCAAGCUUAGUGAUGUGGGGAGGAGCUGCCGAAGGUGGAGCCAUUAACUGGGGUGAAGUCGUAACAAGGUACC
This 159-nucleotide ribosomal RNA is filed under the name uncultured bacterium. RNAcentral's name for it is "partial 16S ribosomal RNA". The record is from RNAcentral.